RNAcentral lists this unclassified non-coding RNA (426 nucleotides) under plant metagenome. RNAcentral describes it as "partial contains 5.8S ribosomal RNA, internal transcribed spacer 2, and large subunit ribosomal RNA". It matches the Rfam family "Bacterial small subunit ribosomal RNA", at positions 358 to 777 of the family's 1533-position model. The record is from RNAcentral.
GGAAUCUUCCGCAAUGGGCGAAAGCCUGACGGAGCAACGCCGCGUGAGUGAUGAAGGUUUUCGGAUCGUAAAGCUCUGUUGCCAGGGAAGAACGUCUUGUAGAGUAACUGCUACAAGAGUGACGGUACCUGAGAAGAAAGCCCCGGCUAACUACGUGCCAGCAGCCGCGGUAAUACGUAGGGGGCAAGCGUUGUCCGGAAUUAUUGGGCGUAAAGCGCGCGCAGGCGGCUCUUUAAGUCUGGUGUUUAAUCCCGAGGCUCAACUUCGGGUCGCACUGGAAACUGGAGAGCUUGAGUGCAGAAGAGGAGAGUGGAAUUCCACGUGUAGCGGUGAAAUGCGUAGAGAUGUGGAGGAACACCAGUGGCGAAGGCGACUCUCUGGGCUGUAACUGACGCUGAGGCGCGAAAGCGUGGGGAGCAAACAGGA